UAUUAACAUACUGGCAUAAAUCAGGGCAGCUGCACAUAAAUUGGACAAUAUGUAAGUAGUGGCAAGCUGCUUUCAGUGAAGAAUUGGGUGUAGAUUGCCAUCUAAUCCAGAAGAUAGAAGAAAGCUUUAGACAGUUGAACAUUGCCAUCAAUCUUGGAACAGAAGCCAGGAAAUUGGUUAAUUUUCAUUUUAAACUCUACGUCUGAAAGGAUAAUGCAAAUUUUAGUGCAGGCAUGCAGGUUUCUGCCUUGAGUUAAAAAUAAAGCUAAUCUAAUAGGUUGUGGAUGAAAAAAAAUUAAGUUAGAAAUAAACUCUUGUCACUGCAGUUUAUGAUAUUCAUGAAAAUCUCUACAAUAUUUACUGGGUGAAUUCUAGCAGCUGAAAAUACUAUAUGGAUAUUAAAUAUAUACUCUAGGAAGCUAUGCAUGUUUUCUGUGAAAUGCUUAUGGCAAUUUCAUUUCCUGUGGUUCCAUAGUUAUUAAAUAUCACUUCUUCUCAAGGUAUGUGAUCUUUGCUCUCUGAAUUGAAAGCGUUUCUGGAAUGGACUCGCACAGUAUUCUUGCUUUGUUUUGUAUCUUUACAUAAAAUAGCUUUGAGUUCAUCGCUUUUUGCAUCAUUCAGUGCUUUUGAUUCAAAGUGAGUUACUUGUACAUCACGCUGCAGGUUCACUACUGUUGAUCUGCUGGGGGUCCUUGAUUAGCUGUUAGCGAGUUCUCCUUUCCUUCUGUUUCCACUUCCAUGCUGUGGUUGGAGACUCAGUGGUCCUGAUAAGAAAUCUUGGGAGUUCUGUGUGAUAUUCUCAUGCAUGUGCUUGCUAUGAAUGUGUCUCUCAUACAUUCACAGUGUCAUACAGAAGCCAGAUAUUUUUCAAGUUUCUUGCCAAGUUGCAUUUGGUAUGUAUCACAUUUCUCCUGAAGAGAAUAGCAAGAUACUAUCCCAUACGGGGACCUCUGCAUUUGAUUAUUUGCCAUUCUCCAACAAAGCAUACAGAGUUUGAACUGUAAGGGUUGAUGGUCACCAGUAUCAAGAAGCAGUCAGUAACCCUUGACAUUUUUCUCAGAUUGUUGUAAGCAAUGUUGAUCUAUCUGUUGUCUGACAAGCUGCUGAUUAUUUUUCCCAAGUCCAAAUGUGAUGUUCAGCUUCUUUUUUGUAAUGUACUCCGAGACACUAUCAGACAGCUUGGAUCACAUGUAUUCAGCCAAAUAAUUGUCACUCAUUCUGUAACUCUAUCAGGGGAGUAGGAAUUAUCCUUAAGCUUGCUAGCAACACUGGGUGGUCCUUUUAUGGCUCAAUUUGUCUCACUUUACGUUGUGCAGAGCUUUAACAAGAAGGUGCAGAGAUUCCCAAAUAGUGUAGCCUAUGGCGAGGAUAUUCUUGCUGGACAGUGAAGAUGAGGGUUUGACUUUGACUCCUGCACAGAGACCGAAACUGUCCCUGCAGCUUCUUUUCCUGAGACUAUUGGGUAAAGUGAAGUGAUAGAUCUCUGGCAGUGAUUUGUAAGAAGGGAAUGAGCUUUGCUCAGCUCUUGGAAAAAGUAGAAAUCAAGCCCUGUCAGCCCUCCUCAGUGGAGGUGAACUCUCUGCAAUAUUCAGAUCUUCAAGCAUGUGGUUCUGAUGCAAUGUAAUUGAAUCGCCUGGUCUGAAUUACCUGGUCAAAGAUCUUGGAGGUAUAUUUCACCUAAAGCAACAGCAGCUUAGAAAUAAUUGUCCCAUAGGAUUCACAGAUUUGCUAACAGGGAAGCUGUCUGCAGAAGCGAAUCUGAUUUGCCCACUGACUUGGCCAUUUCAGUGAUUGUUUCUGCAAAGGUGCUGCAUGGAAACUGUUUGAUGUGUAUUGAUUUGAUAUAUAUUUCCCCCCUAGCUUUCAAGCUUUGAUCAAAAUUUCAGUUAUAAUAAAAGGGAGAGUUUUUAUGCACUUCCACAGUUUCUGCACAAUCACUGAUAAUAUAACUGUCUGGAGCCAGACAGUUGUAGCACUUGUAGGUGUUAUAUAUGUAUAAUAUAUAUGUAGCAGUUAUGCUGCAUACUUGGAUGCUGAACUGUUUAUUUUCAAUCAGAUACAGACCAGGAUAUGAUGACCUUCAUCAGCCUGAAGUGUUCAUUGAUGUGCACUCUGAAUUAACUGAAAAUAAAAUAAAUAAAUAGAAUUCCCAGGCCGCUGAAAAGCCUGCAUCACAAGCACAAGUUGUUUUUGUAGGAAUUUGUUAAAAAGCUUAAGUAUUUUUUCUUACUUAUAUGCAACGGUGGUGGGAGGGUUGCAUUUUGCGCAUCUGUUCCAUAACAUUAAUAUGUCUGGAGAGCUGAAAUCGAAGUACUGUGACUGCUUUUAAUGCCAAAAUGAAAGUAUUAUCUUAAUGCAAAAUCAUAGGAUUGGUUUAUAGGUGUGAGUAAAUUCUAUGUGGGCCUGAGGAAAGGGUUUACUACAACACACCUGAUCAGUUAAAUGAUUCAUCUCGUCUUGCUUUCUGUAUCUAGUAGUUUGUAUUUCAAAGGAGCAAGCAACAUCUAAAAAUAAAGCAAGAAUGGAAGAAGAAGAGUUCCUCUCUUGACUUAUGCAGGCUGUAAAUUUAUGCACUGUAGUUAGCAUUUGAAAUGUAGCUAGCACUUGACAGUUAACUUGCCUUAAUCAUUCUGUUAAUAAAAAUAAUUGUACAACCUUGAGCUCUGCUGCUGAUCACUGCAAUCUGCGUACAGCAUGAUCUCUGAGGGUCACUGUUUUCCUGUGUUUUGCUUAACAUUGCAUUUUUUUAACUGGUGCUGAUGACUGUGCUGAUAAACGUGUUUUGUUAUUGCUCCAUAGUUCAUCACUUACUCAGGAAGAAUAUAGUGAGCUUGGAAGAGACCUGUAAGAUGAUCUAGUUUCAAGCCCCCUGUUAGAGGCAGGGAUACCUCCCUCUAGACCCGGAUGCUCAAACUCCCAUUCAGCCUGGCUUUGAAUGUUUUUUUUUUUCCUCUUUACAAAACUUAACAGUUUUCUCACUGGGUUAAAGGCACUGAACCACCACAGUCUCUCUUGACACCUUGUCCAACAACAGGCAGGUCUGAGCUCUUUGCCUUUUCCCAUUUGAGGUAAUGAGGAAAGCUCCUGCUGACUUCCAGGCUAGUUGAAAUACAGCCUUGGGUAACUCUAUGGAUGCUUGUAGGUAGAUUCAAAUUCCUGUGUGUGUGCUUCUAAGCUUUCACAUCAGCACCAGUUUGUGAAUGUGGACAGUCCUGAGUGUGUAAUAAUUAUUGAGAAGUAGUGUAGGUAUGUUUUUUUCUGGUCUGCAUGGGCUUUAUUGUAUGAAAUACUGUUUAGAAUGCACAUUUGUAUAAAGGCAUUGCUUCUGAGUCUCAGAGAAAUAGCGAGCAACAGAUGGACUGUCUAUGUGUGAAUGUAUGUUCAGCUCAAGCCUGCCAAAAUGCAGUAAUGGAGGUAAGUUCAUUAAGUAUGGGAUGACAUAGUAUAUGUACAAUUCAGAUUGAAAAUGGGUACCCAAAUCAGGACACAAGUGAACUCUAGGGCCAAAGUACCUACUGAGCUGACCAUACAUACACAGUAACAGUGCCUGACAGCUAAAAGGUCUCAAGGGAUCACAUUAGCAUCUGCCUCCCCUUCUCGUAGGUAGAGAAGCAUGGGUGCAUCUUUGAGGCAGUUUACCAUACAUAGUGUUGUAUACAUUUGUACACACACACACACACACACACACACACACACACCAUACUGAAAAGGAAUAAAGCACCUGAAAAGAUUCAGUGAGCAUCAGGAGCCUUCUGGAACUAUUCUGAAGUCAUAGAAAAAGAAGUUGCAGGUUUCUAAAUUGUUGUGGAAGGAGUAAAUAAUGAGAAUAUUGUUAUAUUCUCAUCUGUGCUUUGGAUAUCAAAUAAUUAUUGAACUUCAGGAGAUGACCCAAAACAACAGAAAUAAGUCUCAAAAGAGAAAUUAGAAGGCAGAACUCUCCACUCCCAGUAGUUAGUAUCCCGGCCUUUUUAACAAUCUCCUCAUGCUGUUUAGACCCUGAUUUUAGUUACAUUUAAGGACUGCACACCACUUAAGUAACUGUAUAGAUAACAGCAGCUCCUGAAGGAAGUAAAAUCCCAGCCCUGCUUAGCCCUGGAUUCUGAGCACAGGCAGUGGCAGAAUUGCAGGUGAUGGAUCUGGCUUAAUGCUCUGGGUCUGGCUCUUACACUUGGCUUGGGUAGAAUUCAGGUGUUUGAGCAGAAGUCGUUCUAGGACUUCUUCACAAAUACAGUUUGAUUGGAGACUUGCUUUUUAAACUCUGAAGUCUUUCAAGGGUGGCUUUAUCAAUAAUCUAGAGAUGCUUUAAGUUGUAUUCUGAAAUUUCCACGACUCACAGUGCCUCUGAAUGUAUGAACAGCUGCUGAUGUUUACUGCAGAUGUUGCCCUUUGUUACAGUAUUCUAUCCACUAUACCAUUGUGUGAAAUAUGUGUGUAUGAAAUGUUCAUGUGAUAUGAAUUAAAAACAGAACAAGCACUGCAGUGGUUACCUCCAAACUGAUAAUAUAACACUUUGACACCCUAGGCCUGUAUCCUUCAGCCAGAGGUGCUCAUUCAGGAAGCAGGCAGCUCUGCAGGCAGACAGGCAUACCAAUCCCAAUGAUAACUGGAUAAAUGGCUCCCUUGUUCAAGGGAUACUUUUAUCUGUUGUAGCUCACAUCCAUAGCAACUCCAAGAACAGGAUUCAGUUUCUUAAAUCAGGUCCCCUGUUAUUAGGAGAACGUAGCAAAGUUCUUCUAUAUGCUUUACUAGGAAAGCUAGUGAACCUAAAUACAAGUCAUAGGUUGAAGCCAAGCUGCUUGAGUCUUUCUCUCCAGAAGUAUGGACACUUGCAUAAAACACAUAUGACACUAGUUCAAUGAGCUCUGUGGGCAAUGAGUAUACUAAUUAAGUAUUUUGAGCUUACACUAGAAUUAAGCAAUAAAAAUUAAGAAAAUACUAUAUGAUUUUUCAAAAGUAAUUGAUAAAAGUCAAUGUAAAUAAUCUGUUUUCUGAUGCUAGUAAUGUGAAAGGCAAUAUAUUAAAAAAAAAAUAAAAUAAAACAGAAAAAAAGGAAACAAACAACAACAAAAAGCCAAACCAACAGAGUUCCUGGAAUAAAAAUAGUAGAAAACAAUUUGACACUGAUUUCGACAAGGAAUACCAUUAUUCAAAAAGAAGUGACAGCUUAGUAGAAAAUGGUUAUAACAUUUUUUUCUUCUCCCUUACCCCCAACACAUUUCUUUGGCUAUUUUGAAUAGAUGUUUCUGCAGCUGAAAAACUGCCAAGAUGCCACAGUGAUAGUGUAGUUCACAGAUGGAUCCCAUGUGGUUUGUCUGGUGUGUUAAUGAUGGCUGUGACUGAUUCUGCAUCGCCAGAUCUGGUAAACGCAUAACAAGUUACCUGAAGCAACUACAAUGUUGAUCUGUGUAAUGCUUGAUGUCAAUGCUACUGUUGCUUCCCCCUCUCACAACACCCCCUCCUCUGUUUCCCAAGGUAUUGAGAUCCUCAAGCAGUGAAGCAGAUAAAGUUUAUAUACUUAUUUAAAAUAGGUAUUUUUAUCCAAAGCUCUCAGAGAUCUAGAACUUAUCACAAAUAAAAGCUCUGUGCUCUGGGGGCUAACAUACCCAGUUUAUUACAAAUGGCAAAACUGAGGCAAGGAGAUAAAAAGAGCGUUCAGUAAGUAGGCACAGCGAGACUUGCACUUGAAAAACUUUUAAUUUACUCUAGAUAGUAUCAUUUAUAUUACUGUACAUCUAAUCCUGUUACUUGGAUCUGUUUUCACUUGCUUUCAUGUAAGAGGUAUGGCUUUGUUUUCAACAUAAUUACUUGUUGAAGAUUUUGCUGCAUUUUUACCUACUUGGGGAAAAAGAAGUUAUUAUAAGGCACAGCACUUGAUUACACUUAAUUCCAGUGUAAUCAUUGGGUUAGAUUGUUCAUAUUUCCAGGCAUUCUAACUAAAAGAUGAUUAAGAUGAGACAAGUAGGUUAAAACUUCUUUAUCAUCAAAGUCAAGUGCUACAGAAACUAGUUAUAAGGCUGCUUGUGUUUUGGAUCCUGAGCAAUGUAAAGAGCAACACAUUCCUCAGAUCUCUUCCAACAGUACCUGGAAAGACAGAGAGAUAACGUAGUGUGUAUGGGGAAAUAUGGGAGGACAAACCACCCACACAAACAACUAAUGAGCUGAUGCUGCUGAGAAGCAGAGAAAUUACAAACAGUUUUUCUUCUGCUUACAUUGUUCUAUAUUGGUAUGUCUUGUAGAGUAGUUCCCAAAAAUAUAACAUCAUCACCCAUAUAAAGCCAAACAUCAUGACACAGUAGGGAAGAAUUCCUCUCCGUACGGAUGAACCAAAGGGAAAGGCAGAAGUUCUGAUCUCAGUGACAGGAGGGUUGAAAUAGAAUCACAUAAGCAGAGAUACUUUUUAACAAUGUACAUUAACUAAGAGUUCCAGAGUGUUUGUGUCAUGUGAUCAGCACUUUUGUAUGAGCUGUUUAUGCUAGUUGCAGAUAUGGCCAGAGAUAAGUAUCAGUAUACAGUAGUGACACAUACAAUAACAUGUACUUGCUGUAGAAAACUGGUAAAUGUCUUAAUCUCAUAUGAUCUGUGCUGGCAGAUCUCUGCACGUGCAUCAUGCCAGGACUUUGAAAACAGCCUCAUUCAUUGGACUGCAGGACUGGGAAUUAAAUUAAGUGAUUUCAUAGAGGUGGAGGAGGUGAGCACAUACUGAAAUCACAGGUGUAGAGAUUAGUAAAAAUAAUCACUACUACUCAAUAGCCAUUUGUUUGUUUGCUUUUUUUUCCUGUAAGAAACAAGGCUGCUUAUAAUCAUAUGUCUUUAAUCUAUUUCACUGUACUACCAGUGAGUGUACACCAUCCUUCUCCUUCAGAGCAGGCACUUUAUUGGUCUAUGCCACUUUUCACAAGAGUUGGCAAAUACUUUCCCUUUCUGUUCUCUCUGGAAACUAUUUCCAUCAGUUCUUCUUUUACUUAUAUGUGUCAUUACUAUGAAAUAGCCCCAUGAAUCUUACUCCAGGAGGAGAGCUGUGCUCUUGCCCUGGCACCCAAACUUUGCCGUGUUUUUGUUGAUCAAGGCUGGUUGGAAGCUUAGAGUAUCUGCUGUGAUUGCCUAUGAGUGUAUUCUCACCAUCUACCUUUCUUCAUGAUCUUUCUCACGUUGUUUUUUUCUUGAUAGUAUUUAUCUUGUAUUUUACCCAGCUUAAUCAUAAAGGGAUAGCUAGAUGAGUGCCUGGCUUUGUUUGCUCCAGAAACUCCAGACUUCUGCCCUAAGGAGUAAUGCAGACUAUUGCAAAUUCUGCAAUCUCAGAGGCCGCAUUUCUGCAGUAGGUGAUGCAUGGCUUGGUAUGGACUAAAUACACAGAAUGUAUAUUGUUGCAGUCUGGGAAAUCAUUCAUCUCUACUCACACACACUGGGCAUGGAUAAGUAGGCUAUCACCAGCAGCUAGAGUGAAGGUUUUGCCAUCCAUGGUGACAGUAGAUGCACCCUCCUGAAGGGAAAGAACAGAUAGUCAGCUUUUAGUUAUGUGUACUGUUGUGAGUAGGAAGAAAAUUCUGCAGGUAAGUAUGGAAAUCUUUUCCACUGAAAGAGCACUUCUAACUUGCUCAGCUUUAUGAAGCCUAGCUAAAUAUUCAGCUGAUGUUCCCUGUCUGAAACUAUUAGCAUCAAUAAAAACAUGCUUCAUGAUUCACUGCUCCCUAUCACAAAGCAGCAACUUAUUGCUUGAUAUCUUGGGGAUAUGCUGCGACCGAUCUAAGCCAGCAGCUUGUAAAUUGGUGCAACUCUCUGGAAAUUUACAGAGAGAACCUCCAGGAGUACUUCAAACUCCUUUUCUACCUUUCUGAUUCCUAAUACCUUUUCACAUCUUGAAAGGUAGUCCAUGAGUCAGCAGGGAGCUGACAGAAAUCACUAAUGGGAGUCCAUCUACACUGGAACACGCUUGUCAUUAUCUUGUCAAGCAGAGGAACCAGAUUCCUGCCAGCAACACAGUCUUGACUGCAUGGUCUGCUGCGAGCUGCAGUGUAAACAAAUGUCUUUCAAGAUUGUUAUGUCUUUAAUUAGUAGUUGAUAGUCCCUGUGAAUUUCAGCAGAAC
RNAcentral lists this long non-coding RNA (8084 nucleotides) under Gallus gallus (chicken). Lineage: Eukaryota; Metazoa; Chordata; Aves; Galliformes; Phasianidae. The record is from RNAcentral.